UGGUAGUGUAUUGGACAACCAUGGCAGUCACGGGUAACGGAGAAUUAGGGUUCGAUUCCGGAGAGGGAGCCUGAGAAACGGCUACCACAUCUACGGAAGGCAGCAGGAGCGAAAAUUGCCCAAUCCCGACACGGGGAGGCAGUGACGAGAAAUAACAACUCUUGGUUAUUCUAAGAAGUGUAAUGAGGAUAAUUUAAAACCCUUACCGAAAGCAAUUGGAGGGCAAGUCUGGUGCCAGCAGCCGCGGUAAUUCCAGCUCCAAUAGCGUAUAUUAAAGUUGUUGCAGUUAAAAAGCUCGUAGUUGAAGUUCUGGCUGAUCGAUCCUCGAGCUCUGUAGCCGAGGACUCGUCAGUCAUCCGCUUGCAAAUAUAUGUUCGCCUUUAACCGGGUGGCUAUAUGAGUAAGCAAUUUACCUUGAGAAAAACAGAGUGUUCCAGGCAGGUUUGUCCGGAAUGCAUUAGCAUGGAAUAAUAGAAUAUGACUGAAGUCGAUUUAUUGGUUUGAUGCUUUAGUAAUGAUUAAUAGGAACAGUCGGGGGCAUUGGUACUUGUCAGUCAGAGGUGAAAUUCUAGGAUUUGACAAAGACUAACAAAUGCGAAAGCAUUUGCCAAGGAUGUUUUCAUUAAUCAAGAACGAAAGUUAGGGGAUCAAAGACAAUCAGA
This 662-nucleotide ribosomal RNA is filed under the name uncultured ciliate. Its description in RNAcentral is "SSU rRNA". It matches the Rfam family "Eukaryotic small subunit ribosomal RNA", at positions 326 to 1012 of the family's 1831-position model. Lineage: Eukaryota; Ciliophora. The record is from RNAcentral.